Molecule: ribosomal RNA, 420 nt
Filed under: uncultured bacterium
Lineage: Bacteria
Description: bacterial SSU rRNA
Rfam family: Bacterial small subunit ribosomal RNA
Source: RNAcentral
UAAGGAAUAUUGGACAAUGGACGCAAGUCUGAUCCAGCCAUGCCGCGUGAAGGAUGAAUGCCCUCUGGGUUGUAAACUUCUUUUAUAGGGGAAGAAAGAUACUUUUUUUAAGGUAGUUGACGGUACCCUAUGAAUAAGCACCGGCUAACUCCGUGCCAGCAGCCGCGGUAAUACGGAGGGUGCAAGCGUUAUCCGGAUUUACUGGGUUUAAAGGGUGCGUAGGCGGGCAUGUAAGUCAGUGGUGAAAUACCGGAGCUUAACUUCGGAACUGCCAUUGAUACUAUAUGUCUUGAAUAUUGUGGAGGUAAGCGGAAUAUGUCAUGUAGCGGUGAAAUGCAUAGAUAUGACAUAGAACACCAAUUGCGAAGGCAGCUUACUACAUAUAAAUUGACGCUGAGGCACGAAAGCGUGGGGAUCAAA